This 226-nucleotide ribosomal RNA is filed under the name uncultured bacterium. RNAcentral's name for it is "partial 16S ribosomal RNA". It matches the Rfam family "Bacterial small subunit ribosomal RNA", at positions 524 to 741 of the family's 1533-position model. The record is from RNAcentral.
UACGUAGGGUGCAAGCGUUUAAUCGGAAUUACUGGGCGUAAAGCGUGCGCAGGCGGUUGUGCAAGACAGAUGUGAAAUCCCCCGGGCUCAACCUGGGGAAUUGCAUUUGUGACUGCACGGCUAGAGUGUGUCAGAGGGGGGGUAGAAUUCCACGUGUGAGGCAGUUGAAAAUGCGUAGAGAUGUGGAGGAAUACCGAUGGCGAAGGCAGCUCUCUGGGACGGUACU